CAGAUACCUUCUCGAAACAAAAGAUUUUCCUACCUGCUUAUACUUGGUAACCGAGGGAAUUUCUAAGACUUCUUGCUCAUUUCUGAGUAUUGUCUUUAUAUCCUGACACUAUGAAUGCUACUUGGAUGCCUCUUAAGGGUCUCUUCUGCAGGGUCCCCAUGAAUUGUGGCUGAAGUUGUGCACAAACAAGUAUCUCCAGUGACAGGAGUGCCUUCUGAGGCAGCCAUUGCAUCUUCAUCUGCUGACACUCUGCUAGGCUGACUUCUGUAGUUUUCACCACUGAUCUUCAGUCCACCUCACAGAGCUCUAUAAAACGCUUAAAUCCUCUUUACAUCAUAGACUUUCAGCUACUUGAAGAUAGCCAUCAGCCGCUACGUGACUCUUUUCUCCAGGAUCUCCCUAAUACUAUGAACGCGGCAGAGAUAACGGACAAGCUCGGCCUCCAUUCCCUCCGCUACAGAAACUGGCACAUUCAGGCUACUUGUGCCACUACUGGACAUGGGCUUUACGAAGGCCUGAACUGGCUCGCCAACCAGUUCCAGAACCAGAACUGAUCAGAAGGAUCUAUUCUUUGUGCCUUGUGGCCACAUCAGCUAGCCUCUGCUGUGUGCACGUGUACGUGUGUGCUGGGAGUGGAGGCAGCUUUCUCACAGUGCCUUAUCCAUGCCAUAAGAAAAGCAGUGUUACAUUUUAAGAAACCCAGUGUUAAGUUUUAAACACCACCUUCCAUUUCAGUAGCUUUGAUGAUCAUUUUUGCAAUUGAUGGAGAAGUCCAGAGGGCUUGCUGGUGCUCGAAGGCCAGAGCGGGCUUCAUGGAGGCGAGUUGGAGCGGGGACUGAGUUCAGCUGUUGCAAUCCUGGUCUGGCGUCUGGAGUCCUGUUAGUCUUUGGCAUCCUUUCGUAAAAAGGAAGGAAUUGUCAUUCUUUUUUUUUUAAAACCAUAUUUUUACUGUACCUUUUCAUGUUUAUUUAUUUUUUAUUAAAAAAAUUUUUUUUGAAACAGCCUCCCACUCUGUCGCCCAAGCUGGAGUGCAGUGGUGCGAUCUCAGCUCACUGCAACCUCCGUCUCUCGGGCUCAAGCAAUCCUCCCACCUCAGCCCCCUGAGUAGCUGAGACUAUGGGUGUGCACCACCACACCUGGCUAAUUUUUGUAUUUUUUGUGGAGACAGGGUCUUGCCAUGUUGCCCAGGCUGGUCUGUAACUCCUGAGCUCAAGGGAUCCACCCACCUCAGCCUUCCAAAAUGCUGGGAUUACAGGCAUGAGCCACUGCGCUACCGAGAAAUCGUCAUUCUUUACCACCACUGCUGCAGCUAGCAGCUCACUCUUCAGUGCUUUAAGCAAAUGAUCCUCAGGAAAGAAAAGGUAUUUGCUUAUUGCAGGUGCAAAGAGGCUCAGAUUGGAACUUUUCCCUGAAACUAUAUUGUAGCCCAGAGUUCCUGAUGUAAGACGCUUUAUUUAAAGACAUCCGUGAGCUUUUUCACUGGCAUAUCAAUACUUCAUAACACUAGGAAGGUAUCCAGCCUUUUCCUUAUGCUAGUUCCUUCCCUUAUUUGCCAGAUGGGGACCCUGUGGGGAGGUGACCCAGUGUGAGGCCGAAGCUCUUUCCCAGAGCCCCACAGGCCAGUGGAGGGUCGUGUUUGUGCUCUGGGCAUCACCGUCUUGGGUCUCGGUCCCCUGCGACUGCAGCUGCUACAUCCCUCCCUGCUCUGAGAUAAAUGUUCUUCCCAUGAAGCAGACGGUUCACUUUUGGGAUGGCGCUGUCUCCAGGUUUGGCUGUCUCAGUCCAGAUGAUGUUUGGUUAGUUUCCAUUCCCAGAACCACAAGCCUUUGAGUUCUGAAAGUUUGUGACAGAAUCAAGAGGCUAAUUUGGGAGAUGUGAGAUUCCCAGCCCACCUGGUAUUGCCCUCGAGUUAGUGGUAAAUUUUGCUAUGGAAAAUAUCUCUUGUCAAGACCAAGCUCCGGCGCAUUGCCUCCCUCUUUUGGAUGGCCAUGGCAUCUCAUGAACCACUUGGAAAUGUGUUUUAUGUUGUUCUCCAAAUAUUAAUAAAAAUAUCCCGGAGAGGAGGUUCACUAAGUAGCCUAGAGCUCGUUUGUCCAGACAAUUGUUGGCCAUAUGUUGAAGAUUAUUCUCUCUUCUAAAGAAAAUAGAAGAAUAUUAGGAGAAAAGACACUUGAAAAUGUUCACUCUUUUAUUCACAUUACAUCAUCUGUCUUGAAUAAUGGGUCUAUCUCUUUCCUGUUGCUCUGGCCCUGAAAAAAAAAUUAGCUUUUUAAGGCUGCUUUUGUUACGUGUGCAUUUUCUUGUAAUCCCGUCAUUCUGGGAUUUAAUAAUAAUAGUAUUAAUACCACCUACCAUUUGUUGGUUACUUACUGUGUUUUAGGCACUGUGCUAAACGCCUU
RNAcentral lists this long non-coding RNA (2399 nucleotides) under Homo sapiens (human). Its description in RNAcentral is "non-protein coding lnc-LINC02210-CRHR1-52:10". The record is from RNAcentral. Lineage: Eukaryota; Metazoa; Chordata; Mammalia; Primates; Hominidae.